RNAcentral lists this long non-coding RNA (1172 nucleotides) under Phoenix dactylifera (date palm). RNAcentral describes it as "long non-coding RNA (PDAC_LNC000202)". The record is from RNAcentral. Lineage: Eukaryota; Viridiplantae; Streptophyta; Magnoliopsida; Arecales; Arecaceae.
UCUCUCUCCUUCUUCUCUUCUUCUUCCCUUCCGUCGCCUGUGACCGUGGGGUGACCGACGGCGGCUGGCCGAGCGCCGCCGCCGAGGGCCACGGUCGGCCGCCGAGGGCCGACCGGAGCCACCAGCCACUCCCCCCUUCUUCCUUUCUUCUUCUUCUCUCCUUCUUCUUCCUCUUCUCCUUCUUCUUCUUCUUCUUCUUCUUCCGGCUGGGUGCUUUCCUUGCAUCGUUUUCCGUGCCCUAUUGGUGUCUCAAACCACACAAAUGAACUUUGGGUGUUUCUCUUGCAUCAAUUUCCGUGCUCUGUUGGUGUCACAAACCAGACGCAAAUGAACUUUGAUUUGAUUGAACCAUCUUCUGACUGUGGAUUUGGUCUAGACUUGGGUUGGUCUAAUUUGAGUGUAAUCUGGUUUGUUAAGCUUGAUCUAAUCUGGGCUGAUCAGAGCUGGUUUGGUGUGGGCCGGUUUGAUCUAGAUCUGUAAUGUGGUUUGGUUCAAUUGGGCCUAAUAUGUGUUGGGCUGAGUUGAACCUAAUUGGAUCUGUGGGCUGGGUUGGUUUGGGCCGAAAUCUGAUUUGGACCUGAUACCUGGUUUGGUUCAAUUGGGCCUAAUCUGUUUUGGGCCACAAUUGACUUGGGUUUAAAGGGUUCUGAUUUUAGGGUCUAUGUUUGAUCUUAGGGGCCCAUUCUUGGAUCCAUGAACUUAGGAGUUUAAGGGUUUGAAAAAUUGUUUAAAUUAUGUUUCUUAGUUAAUUAAAUAAUUAAUAUUUAUAUUUAACCAGGGGUUCGUGAUAUCUGUGGCAGGAAAUUUUAAGCGAACCCAGGUAGGUGACCGUUGCUUUAAAGUAGAAUUCUAACAUGUAUCUUGCAUAUGUUGAUUUAUUGAUUUAUUAUUAGCAAUAUGUGUUAGAAUUAAAAUCAAAUAUUUAAUUUCAUAAAUUGUUAUGCGCUUUACUGUGGGGAGUAUGAUUAUGAUUUUGAUACAGAAAGUUGAUUUAUUGAUUUUCAAAAUCCGCGUGACUAUAGUCUAGACCCCGCCAAUGGGAUGAUAUGUUGGCCCUGUCGACUUGUACUGAGGAACUAGUUCCGACACCGCGACCACCGGUGAUAGAAUAGUGGCGGCACAGGGGUGCGUUUUGCUCUUCGGAGCGGCUCGGUGGAGCGUGAGUUUGGCAC